Molecule: ribosomal RNA, 460 nt
Filed under: uncultured bacterium
Lineage: Bacteria
Description: partial 16S ribosomal RNA
Rfam family: Bacterial small subunit ribosomal RNA
Source: RNAcentral
CCUACGUGAGGCAGCAGUGAGGAAUAUUGGUCAAUGGGCGCGAGCCUGAACCAGCCAAGUAGCGUGAAGGAUGACUGCCCUACGGGUUGUAAACUUCUUUUAUAAAGGAAUAAAGUGAGGCACGUGUGCCUUUUUGUAUUUACUUUAUGAAUAAGGAUCGGCUCACUCCGUGCCAGCAGCCGCGGUAAUACGGAGGAUCCGAGCGUUAUCCGGAGUUAUUGGGUUUAAAGGGAGCGUAGAUGGGUUGUUAAGUCAGUUGUGAAAGUUUGCGGCUCAACCGUAAAAUUGCAAGUGAUACUGGCAGUCUUGAGUACAGUUGAGGUAGGCGGAAUUCGUGGUGUAGCGGUGAAAUGCUUAGAUAUCACGAAGAACUCCGAUUGCGAAGGCAGCUUACUAAACUGCCACUGACAUUGAUGCUCGAAAGUGUGGGUAUCAAACAGGAUUAGAUACCCUAGUAGUC